UACAGAGGUGUCGAGCGUUGUUCGGAUUUACUGGGCGUAAAGGGUGCGUAGGCGGUCUUGUGUGUCGGAUGUGAAAGCCUGUCGCUUAACGACAGAACGGCAUCUGAAACUACAGGACUUGAGUUCAGGAGAGGAUGGCGGAAUUCUCGGUGUAGCGGUGAAAUGCGUAGAUAUCGAGAGGAACACCCGUGGCGAAGGCGGCCAUCUGGACUGAUACUGACGCUGAGGCACGAAGGCCGGGGGAG
Molecule: ribosomal RNA, 245 nt
Filed under: uncultured bacterium
Lineage: Bacteria
Description: partial 16S ribosomal RNA
Rfam family: Bacterial small subunit ribosomal RNA
Source: RNAcentral